AUUUUUUUUUUUACUCUAAAUAACUUCCAGAAAUCAAAAGAUAAAUUGAAGGGAGUAAAUCACGAGGCAGCAGAUCCUCUGGUGCCGGAUUAGUACCUGUCCCUCUGUCCCCACCUAUCAAGGCGGUUUUAAUUUCAAAGUUAUAUAGUAACCAUACAAAUGUUCUUCAAUUCAUUCAUUCAUAGAAGAAAGAAAGGCUUCUUUUUUUUCUUCUUCUAUCAAGGAAACAUAGAUUUCUGAUUUAUGUUUCAGUUUGGGUGCUGCUGAAAAGGAUUCACUAUUAAGGUUAUUCUCCAUCUCUACAACGAAAAGGGGUCACUGUGAAGAGAAGAGCUGAUGUGGACAGGGGCGGAAGCACAGCAAGACUUCCCCUGCAUUGUCGAAGUGUUUAGUCUUUGCCAGUUCUGUGUAAAUUAGGAUCAUGCACUUUAGUUGUUUGUGGAAAUGCCCACGAGAGGGCAGUUGCAAGGGUGGGGGUUCUUGCUCGACCAAUAAUUGGUAGAGAAUACAAGGAAUGCUUUAGUGGAAAUCAUAAUACUGGUAUCCAUCAAAGAAGUGCAUUAAGGAAUCGCUGCCCCAUAUUUGUUGGAAACAGCAGUCGUCGUUAAAGAGAAUAAGAGUGCCCGAAAAAGAACAUGAUGUACAGUUUUGCUAUUAGGACUUUCCGAUGUUCUUUUAAGAGGGAGAAGCUAAUGAUGGCUAAAGAAUACCUGCGCAAAGGUUAGUGUAUCAAAACCUUCAUACCCAUCCUCCAAAUCAGAGUCGGACUUGUUGAUUGGGACAAGUUAAGAGGCAGUAAUAAUAUUUUCUAACUCUGAUCCAUGUCUUUUUGCUUUCUUUUGUGAUGUAAAUUACCUGUUGACACAUUGUUCCCUAUACUGUGUUAGUUUCUACACAUUUGUUUCAUGUCGUUGCUGAUAUGCUUGUUGGUUUGAAGGUCAAUGACUCGGUUGUGAUAUAGGUAGAGAAAGGAAUUCAUAAUGUUGAUGAUGAUGCCAAGCCGACAUGUCUUGUUCAAGUUUGUGUAGCAUCUAUAUGCUUGACUAUGUGUUGUGAUAUAGUAUAAAUAAUGUGCAUUACCUUGUCCUGAAUUUUCGUGCAGUACUACAUUAAAUUGAGCUGAUUUUGCUGAAUUUUCUUUUAGUUAAGUGGAAAUAUGAAGUACAGAAACUUGGCUUUUGGUUAGACCUCAUAUUACCUUGUAGUACGUCUUGAGAUGCUUCUCUUUUAGCUUAUGCACCCUUAACACUGUACAUCUACAUGUCUUGCAUAUAUAAAAUAAAAGAUUCGACUAUGUUCAUUUGGAAUUGAAGAUUUUCCAAUUUUAAGACUGAAUUAAUCUUUUUAUCUUUUUGGUUUUAAUUUAAGCUUCAUUCCCGAGAUCUCCCAACAGUGAAGGAGGAUCUUAUGACGUCAAUGGAAAAGAGUUACGCCCAUCCUUGGGUUGGACCUCAGAGAUGGGUUGGACUGCACCCAUAUCCAAGGGGAUUCAUGCCUUGAGGGCUCAACUGGAAGCAGCAAAAUAUGAUGUGAUUAAGUAUUGCACUGGACUGAAUACGAUGAUAGAUGUGUGAAUAUUUUCUCAGCUGAAGGGAGAGUGUUUCAAGUUUAAGCUAUUAAGGUAAACAACAAAACAGUAAAGACGUAUUUCUAUUACUUUGAGUCAGUCGAUCAAGUUUUUCAUGGAUUAUUUCUUGCACAAAUUGAUCGAUGAAAUUGAGUCGGAGAUCUCAACAAAGAUAUCAUGGAUGAUUAAUCGGAAAAUAUCCAAUUAAGGACAGUCAAAUUGACAUAGGAUAUAUUUGUAUUCCCUAAAUGGAUAUUUUCUUCUAAUCAAAUAACCUUCUGGCAGUCAUGAUAUUAAUGGUUAUAUAUCCUUUCGGACCUUUCCUUAUUA
This is an RNA transcript of Papaver somniferum (opium poppy), 1897 nucleotides long. RefSeq lists it as uncharacterized. The record is from RefSeq and is a predicted model, not a curated record. NCBI's taxonomy places the organism in Eukaryota, Viridiplantae, Streptophyta, Magnoliopsida, Ranunculales, Papaveraceae. The transcript is spliced from 9 exons.